AGUGAACGCUGGCGGUAGGCCUAACACAUGCAAGUCGAACGGCAGCACAGUAAGAGCUUGCUCUUACGGGUGGCGAGUGGCGGACGGGUGAGGAAUACAUCGGAAUCUACUUUUUUGUGGGGGAUAACGUAGGGAAACUUACGCUGAUACCGCAUACGACCUACGGGUGAAAGCAGGGGAUCUUCGGACCUUGCGCGAUUGAAUGAGCCGAUGUCGGAUUAGCUAGUUGGCGGGGUAAAGGCCCACCAAGGCGACGAUCCGUAGCUGGUCUGAGAGGAUGAUCAGCCACACUGGAACUGAGACACGGUCCAGACUCCUACGGGAGGCAGCAGUGGGGAAUAUUGGACAAUGGGCGCAAGCCUGAUCCAGCCAUACCGCGUGGGUGAAGAAGGCCUUCGGGUUGUAAAGCCCUUUUGUUGGGAAAGAAAAGCAGCAGGUUAAUACCCCGCUGUUCUGACGGUACCCAAAGAAUAAGUACCGGCUAACUUCGUG
Molecule: ribosomal RNA, 492 nt
Filed under: uncultured bacterium
Lineage: Bacteria
Description: partial 16S ribosomal RNA
Rfam family: Bacterial small subunit ribosomal RNA
Source: RNAcentral